CCGUGCUUGCACGGUUGGAUUAGUGGCGAACGGGUGAGUAUCACGUGAGUAACCUUCCCUUAACUCUGGGAUAAGCCCGGGAAACUGGGUCUAAUACCGGAUACGACCAGUCCUCGCAUGGGGUGCUGGUGGAAAGAUUUAUCGGUUUUGGAUGGACUCGCGGCCUAUCAGCUUGUUGGUGAGGUAAUGGCUCACCAAGGCGAUGACGGGUAGCCGGCCUGAGAGGGUGACCGGCCACACUGGGACUGAGACACGGCCCAGACUCCCACGGGAGGCAGCAGUGGGGAAUAUUGCACAAUGGGCGAAAGCCUGAUGCAGCGACGCCGCGUGCGGGAUGACGGCCUUCGGGUUGUAAACCGCUUUCAGCAGGGAAGAAGCGAAAGUGACGGUACCUGCAGAAGAAGCGCCGGCUAACUACGUGCCAGCAGCCGCGGUAAUACGUAGGGCGCGAGCGUUAUCCGGAAUUAUUGGGCGUAAAGAGCUCGUAGGCGGUUUGUCACGUCUGCUGUGAAAGCCCGGGGCUCAACCCCGGGUGUGCAGUGGGUACGGGCAGACUAGAGUGCAGUAGGGGAGACUGGAAUUCCUGGUGUAGCGGUGAAAUGCGCAGAUAUC
Molecule: ribosomal RNA, 612 nt
Filed under: uncultured bacterium
Lineage: Bacteria
Description: bacterial SSU rRNA
Rfam family: Bacterial small subunit ribosomal RNA
Source: RNAcentral